This 174-nucleotide ribosomal RNA is filed under the name uncultured bacterium. RNAcentral describes it as "partial 16S ribosomal RNA". It matches the Rfam family "Bacterial small subunit ribosomal RNA", at positions 1326 to 1500 of the family's 1533-position model. The record is from RNAcentral.
UCGGAAUUGCUAGUAAUCGCGGAUCAGCAUGCCGCGGUGAAUACGUUCCCGGGCCUUGUACACACCGCCCGUCACACCAUGGGAGCCGGUAAUACCCGAAGUCAGUAGUCCAACCUCGUGAGGACGCUGCCGAAGGUAGGAUUGGCGACUGGGGUGAAGUCGUAACAAGGUAUC